Leptopilina heterotoma is the source of this 414-nucleotide long non-coding RNA. RefSeq lists it as uncharacterized. The transcript is spliced from 2 exons. The record is from RefSeq and is a predicted model, not a curated record. NCBI's taxonomy places the organism in Eukaryota, Metazoa, Arthropoda, Insecta, Hymenoptera, Figitidae.
UUAUGUUUUUUGAAAUUGUAUCACUGUCCUUUGUAAUGAUGAGCACAUGUGUUAUUUAUUUUGUUUAUUAUUUUUAUGUUUAUUUAUCAAUUUGGAAUGUUCUGUUGGAUUUUUAUUUGUUAUAAAAUGAAGGAAGUCUCGAUGGUUCUUGUUCAAACAAGAAUGCAGUAAAUCCGAACAAAUUUUAUUCCAUUUUUUGACAGGUCUCGACUUUGAGGUUAUGUUGGCCUUUAAAAACUUUUCGAAUUUAAAUUUUUUAAAAGUUUUAUAAAUUUGUAUCAUUGAACAAUGUGUCCUGAUGAGCUGUGUUCACAGUGAAAAUGCAUUCGAUGAAAUAAAGUAAUAAUUGCUGAUUUUUAACAACUUUCUCAAAUCUUUUGGACCCAAGGCCACAAUAUAAACAAUUUUAUUUGA